UGGGGAAUAUUGGACAAUGGGGGAAACCCUGAUCCAGCGAUGCCGCGUGAGUGAAGAAGGCCUUAGGGUUGUAAAGCUCUUUUAGUAGGGAAGAUGAUGACGGUACCUACAGAAAAAGCACCGGCAAACUCUGUGCCAGCAGCCGCGGUAAUACAGAGGG
RNAcentral lists this ribosomal RNA (160 nucleotides) under uncultured bacterium. Its description in RNAcentral is "partial 16S ribosomal RNA". It matches the Rfam family "Bacterial small subunit ribosomal RNA", at positions 355 to 532 of the family's 1533-position model. The record is from RNAcentral.